Molecule: ribosomal RNA, 334 nt
Filed under: uncultured bacterium
Lineage: Bacteria
Description: partial 16S ribosomal RNA
Rfam family: Bacterial small subunit ribosomal RNA
Source: RNAcentral
CCUACGGGAGGCAGCAGUGAGGAAUAUUGGUCAAUGUCCGGAAGGCUGAACCAGCCAAGCCGCGUGAAGGACGAAGGUGCCACGCAUUGUAAACUUCUUUUGUCAAGGGACAAACUCAGGCUCGCGAGCCUGACCGAGGGUACUUUAAGAAAAAGCAUCGGCUAACUCCGUACCAGCAGCCGCGGUAAUACGGAGGAUGCGAGCGUUAUCCUGAUUUAUUGGGUUUAACGGGUGCGUAGGCGGACUGUUAGUUCAGCGGUAAACGCCCGGGGCUCAACCCCGGCGAGCCGUUGAUACUGGUUGUCUUGAGAUGUCGAGAGGUAUGCGGAAUGCG